This 87-nucleotide ribosomal RNA is filed under the name Vibrio parahaemolyticus VPTS-2010_2. Lineage: Bacteria; Pseudomonadati; Pseudomonadota; Gammaproteobacteria; Vibrionales; Vibrionaceae. The record is from RNAcentral.
UGACUCCAUUCCGAACUCAGAAGUGAAACGAAAUAGCGCCGAUGGUAGUGUGGGGCUUCCCCAUGUGAGAGUAGGACAUCGCCAGGC